UCUGCGGAGGAACUCUAAUCACAACCAGAUCCGUUCUUACGGCAGCCCACUGUUUUUUUAACAACGUCAUAGAUAACAGACAUAUACGAGUGCGACUUGGCUCGACAUUCUCAUAUUUUGGAGGUAACUUUCUUAGAGUUCAAAAUUGGAUUAAGCAUCCUGGAUACGCGUUUCC
Nymphalis io (European peacock) is the source of this 175-nucleotide long non-coding RNA. RefSeq lists it as uncharacterized. The transcript has 3 exons. The record is from RefSeq and is a predicted model, not a curated record. NCBI's taxonomy places the organism in Eukaryota, Metazoa, Arthropoda, Insecta, Lepidoptera, Nymphalidae.